Molecule: long non-coding RNA, 225 nt
Organism: Fukomys damarensis (Damara mole-rat)
Lineage: Eukaryota; Metazoa; Chordata; Mammalia; Rodentia; Bathyergidae
Exons: 3
Source: RefSeq, a predicted model, not a curated record
AGACUCCAAAAUAAAACAGGGAAGCGAUUCCCCUGUCUUUCACGCUUCUGCCAACAAAGGAGGUGUUCUUUAGCCAGAAUGAGAUUCAACCCCAGACCGAUUUCUCACGUCUUUUCGUCAGGACCCAGGAUUGAGAGUUUCUCUUUCAGACUCGGGACUUGAAGGAGACAGAAUAUAUAACCCUAUAAUAUGAUGGCAACCCCGAACUCCAGCAGCGAGUGCUCG